This 817-nucleotide long non-coding RNA is filed under the name Helianthus annuus (common sunflower). Lineage: Eukaryota; Viridiplantae; Streptophyta; Magnoliopsida; Asterales; Asteraceae. The record is from RNAcentral.
AUGAUUGUUUUUGCGACUCAUUAUAUUAAGGGCUGUCAUGACAACUCACCCCUAAAACCUAAUACCUCUACCAUGUUCCCUCAACAAUAUUAUAGGGUUGAUAUUCAUCAAUGACAAUCUUUUUGUUUAUAAUUAUUAUAUUCAUCAAAUAAGAAUAGAGCAACUAGACUAGGUAAUCGGACAACAAUAAUCAACUACAACACAUCUAUAUGCUACUACAAAUUAAGGGAUACGUCCCAUCGAUUACGAUCCGACUCUAAAAGAAAUGCGCUUCAAUUCUAAUUUAGUUAGGCGUCGAACAAAGAAAAAUAUUCUCUACAUGUCUUCCUCGACUCUUCACGAUCAUUGUACUUUUCUGGUGACGAUUCUCAUUCACGCUGCCUAGAGACUCUCUUGGUUUCCAUACUUUUUGUUAUUAAUAAAUGACAAAAUUGUUAUGGGUUUUGUUUUAUUGAUGAUAUUCGGAUGAUGAUAUUUUGAUGAUUACAAAGCAAGAAUGUGGCCUCUAUAUAUAACAAAAGAGAGGCACAAUAAAAGGCACAAUGAAAGAAGAUAAAACAGGAAUGGAAAUCAUCAUGGGGCAAUAGUCUUGGAGAGACAAAUAAGGAGAGAAUGUUGCACAAUAAAAGCCCCAUAUUAUUCUUCCCAUAUUGUUAUGGGUUCCGAACACCCAACUUGCACAGCAGGAAACAAAGUGAGUUGGCCCCUAAGUCUUUUGUAAGAACGUCAGCAAUUUGAUCUUUGGUGGCAAUAGACAUGGGACAUAUCUCCAUAGAAUCAACUCUUUCCCUUAUAAAGUAGCAGUCCAUUUCUACGU